Molecule: long non-coding RNA, 648 nt
Filed under: Nicotiana tabacum (common tobacco)
Lineage: Eukaryota; Viridiplantae; Streptophyta; Magnoliopsida; Solanales; Solanaceae
Description: long non-coding RNA (NTAB_LNC016958)
Source: RNAcentral
AGGGGGAGUAAAAGCAAAAAUCGCUAGCGCCGCAUAAGUUGUCUUCCUCAUCCAGAUUCCAAAAAGAAAAAAAAGGUGUGAAAUUAUCUUCUUCUUUGAUUUUCUUUUCCUCCAUAGCUCCAUUAGCUCCAUAACACAUUAAACUCAUGACUGUCGACCACAUCCAUAGCCACCGUUUUUAUCACCUGCGUCGAACAUCGAAAUCCCAUAGCCACCGUUUUUAUCACCUGCGUCGAACAUCGAAAUCCCAUAGUCACCGGAGAUGCAACUCUGAUGCCGGAGGUCUUUCUGCCUCAUUUCCUCUCUCCCUCAUCUCCUUAUUUUUUCAUUUUGGUUCUUUCAUGGAGUAAAUACUAGAUUUGGCCGAGUUUUUUGGUUUUUGGCCGAGAAAUAACAUUUCCGGCAGCCACAUACUAUUGUCGUACAUUUUGGCCGGAGUCACAACCUUCGCCAGUGACCUUAUUGCCUUUCUGGUAGCCCGGUGCUUUGUCUCUGUUUUUGUCAUAUUUUCCGGUGAGCUCCGAGUUUGUCGAGGUCCCCCGGUUCGAGUUUUCCGUUUAGUUGGUGACUCGGGUAGUGUUUGAGUUAUAUCGGUACUCUCUUCCUCGAUGUAUUCAGAGAAAUUCAAUAUUUAAACAAAUUUCAAAG